Molecule: long non-coding RNA, 643 nt
Filed under: Nicotiana tabacum (common tobacco)
Lineage: Eukaryota; Viridiplantae; Streptophyta; Magnoliopsida; Solanales; Solanaceae
Description: long non-coding RNA (NTAB_LNC007452)
Source: RNAcentral
CCUUUGGACAGAUUUUAAACAGUGUUUAGCACACAAUGUCAAUUUUUGUCGGACAGACAUUUGGUGAACCAAAAUCUAUCCAAAUUUGCCUAUUUAAGGGCUGCCCUUUCCUCACUUUGGGGGGACUCCAUCACACUUCCAGGGGGCAUUUUUUAUAAUUACUUUGUCACACAAAAAAAAAAAUUCAGCAGUUGAACACAUGAAAAGUAAGCUGAAAUGGUGAGCUUUGGGAGUGAAUCUUAGAGUGCAAACUUUUAGAAAGGUAUAAGUCCUCUUUAGAGUUCGUUUUUGGGUUCCCUUUCUAAGUUUUCGGGUUGUUUUAACACGAAUUUGCUGCUGGUUUUGCUGCUGUUUUUAUACUGCUUUAGUUGCUGAACUACUGUUUAUUCUUUUGCUACCAGGUAAUCCUUUAAGACUCGUAAUGUACGUAUUUUCAGUAAUGGGAACAACUUGAACAUGCUGCACCAUUUAAAUGUGUUUGAAAUGAUGAAUAGUUUGACAACAAAAGAGCUUGUAUGUUAUUGUUAUGUAUCAAGCAUGUGAUAAUGUGAAUAUAGUCCUUCAUAAUACUUGAAUGUGAUAUGUAAGUCGUUUAUGGAUUUUUUAAGCAUGUUUUCAAGCUAUUAUAUCUGAGUAACAAUGC